GGGCCCUUAGCUCAGUUGGUUAGAGCCCCCGGCUCAUAACCGGGCUGUCAUUGGUUCGAGUCCAAUAGGGCCCACCA
Molecule: transfer RNA, 77 nt
Filed under: Gracilibacteraceae bacterium
Lineage: Bacteria; Bacillati; Bacillota; Clostridia; Eubacteriales; Gracilibacteraceae
Description: tRNA-Ile
Rfam family: tRNA
About the family: Transfer RNA (tRNA) molecules are approximately 80 nucleotides in length.
Source: RNAcentral